GGGUGUGAAGCUGAUCGGGAUGUGAUAACUGUCAUCCCAUUAAUUGGUAGAGUUGAUUUGAUGAUAUGGCUGGCUAGAUGGAGGUCCUCUCCUUUUCUCAUUGCCCCUUGGGUGUCCUUCCUAAAGCUGUACACUCAGUGGAAAAGGGAGACUAUUGUACUGGGGACAUAAUUUUUAUCUGGGAUAAAAAAUAAAGCCUUUUACCUUUAAGUAAAUAUUUUAAAGCAACGGCACAUAUAAACAUUUCCCAUGCAAAAAUUUGGCUGCCUUGUUUU
This 275-nucleotide small nuclear RNA is filed under the name Notechis scutatus (mainland tiger snake). RNAcentral describes it as "7SK RNA (ENSNSUG00000010248.1)". It matches the Rfam family "7SK RNA". Rfam says of the family: 7SK was discovered as an abundant small nuclear RNA in the mid-70s but a possible function has only recently been suggested. Two independent studies have found that 7SK RNA binds the CDK9/cyclin T complex (known as elongation factor P-TEFb). Lineage: Eukaryota; Metazoa; Chordata; Lepidosauria; Squamata; Elapidae. The record is from Rfam by way of RNAcentral.